Molecule: long non-coding RNA, 1099 nt
Organism: Mastomys coucha (southern multimammate mouse)
Lineage: Eukaryota; Metazoa; Chordata; Mammalia; Rodentia; Muridae
Exons: 9
Source: RefSeq, a predicted model, not a curated record
CCCACAUAGCCAGUAACAGUCCAAAUUUCUGGGAACAGUAAGAACCUCCAGUCACUGAAGUUCCUGACAGGGUGAGAAGCUUUUCUGUAGAAAUCGGAAGCAGUUUACACCUGACAGUCACUCCUGAGAGAGCUUGGAGUUUUCAGGUGAGAAGCAGCAGCUUCUGGAUGAUUAUGAAAUGUCCACACUGCUAUAUUUGCUACAACAGGUUGCACCACGUCAACUUCUGACUGAAGAUCUGGGUCCUCUCACUGCAACAGAAAAAAAGGCGAAGUGAAGAGGAAGCAGGGAGCUGAUACAGAAGUAUCUGCAAGUUCAGGCAAACAAAAAAAAGGAUGGUGAAAACAAGCAGAUGCAGGACCACAGCCAAUGGAUAGAUACCACCCAUAGGUAAAAUGGAUCUUUCCACUUCAAUUCACCCGACCUAGAAACUUCUUCUCUCAUAUGGGCCCAAAGGAACAUUGAGAACUGGACACUAAGAACUGCAGUAAACAUCAGAACAAACCCAUGUUCAACCCAGUGCCUCAGUGUAAUGUAGAAUUCUGGGCUGCAGCUUUGGCUUGUCAAUAGGACUGGGCUUAGAAAAUUGUGGUAAAGAAAGUUGAAGCUGUGAGACAGAAAGCUCUGAAACUAUCUGGCCAAGGGAAGCCACACACUCAAUACAACAGAAUCACAAGGACAAGCAGAAGAAUGUCUCUGCAGGUGCUACAGAGCUUUUCAUAAAGCACAGAUCCUCUGACCCUGGUUCUCAAGAAGGACAAGAGUUCAUCAUGGUGAGGAGUCCUGGAAGCAAGUAGCAGACUUGUUGGCCUGAGCACAAAGCAAAAACCCUUAUAGUCUCAAUUACAACUAUGAAGCAGAGAGACCAAAUUAGAUGCAAGGUGAGACUGUGAACAUGAAAAGCCUGUUCCCAGUGAAGUAAUUCCUCCAGCAAGCUCACACCUCCUAAACCUUCUGAAAUGGUGUCACCAACAGAGGACCAAGAAGAAGAGAGGUACUCAAGUCAUAGUGUGAUGUACAGAGCCAGUCCCAGGUGUGAGCUUCCAAUAUUAGGUACAAAUCCGAGCAUUCUAAUAUAGUCACUCAUAAGGAAACCUGU